This 520-nucleotide ribosomal RNA is filed under the name uncultured Glomus. RNAcentral's name for it is "SSU rRNA". It matches the Rfam family "Eukaryotic small subunit ribosomal RNA", at positions 569 to 1091 of the family's 1831-position model. Lineage: Eukaryota; Fungi; Glomeromycota; Glomeromycetes; Glomerales; Glomeraceae. The record is from RNAcentral.
AGCAGCCGCGGUAAUUCCAGCUCCAAUAGCGUAUAUUAAAGUUGCUGCAGUUAAAAAGCUCGUAGUUGAAUUUCGGGACUAAUAUGUCGGUCGUGCCUCGGUACGUACUGGUAUUUUGGUUUCUCCCUUCUGACGAACCUUGAUGUCAUUAAUUUGGUGUCUUGGGAAAUCAGGACUGUUACUUUGAAAAAAUUUAGAGUGUUUAAAGCAGGCUCACGCUUGAAUACAUUAGCAUGGAAUAAUGAAAUAGGACGUUUGAUUCUAUUUUGUUGGUUUCUAGGAUUGACGUAAUGAUUAAUAGGGAUAGUUGGGGGCAUUAGUAUUCAAUUGUCAGAGGUGAAAUUCUUGGAUUUAUUGAAGACUAACUACUGCGAAAGCAUUUGCCAAGGAUGUUUUCAUUAAUCAAGAACGAAAGUUAGGGGAUCGAAGACGAUCAGAUACCGUCGUAGUCUUAACCAUAAACUAUGCCGACUAGGGAUCGGAUGAUGUUAAUUUUUUAAUGACUCAUUCGGCGCCUUAC